CCCAAGGUGUGUGGGUUCGAAACCCGCAGGGGACAACAUUACAUCCGGAGCCAACUUCUCAGCUCCUAAAAUAAAGGGAUGUGAACUUGCCAAGUAGGUACCUUCGGGCGGACCUACUACCUGAUUUAGCUUAUUGUUUCUGGGCUGGAAACCUGUAUUGCAUGUACCAAAUCCUGUCUUUCAUUAAUUUUCCUAUGUUUCUGUUAUGUCUUGGCAUCAUUCAACACUAGCAUUCCUCCUGUAUAACCAACUCUUGCCUGUAUUUAACAUCACACAAGGACUCAUCAUAAGCACUACUUGCAUACGAGU
RNAcentral lists this small RNA (309 nucleotides) under Histoplasma capsulatum var. duboisii H88. Its description in RNAcentral is "Histoplasma capsulatum H88 hypothetical RNA". The record is from RNAcentral. Lineage: Eukaryota; Fungi; Ascomycota; Eurotiomycetes; Onygenales; Ajellomycetaceae.